GAUAAACGCUGGCGGCGUGCUUAACACAUGCAAGUCGAACGAAGUUUUCCCUUCGGGUGAAGCUUAGUGGCGGACGGGUGAGUAACGCGUGGGUAACCUGCCCUGUACAGGGGGACAACAGCUGUAAACGGCUGCUAAUACCGCAUAAGCCCUUUGCACUGCAUGGUGCAUAGGGAAAGGGAGCAAUCCGGUACAGGAUGGACCCGCGUCUGAUUAGCCCGUUGGCAGGGUAAGGGCCUACCAAAGCGACGAUCAGUAGCCGAUCUGAGAGGAUGUACGGCCACAUUGGGACUGAGACACGGCCCAGACUCCUACGGGAGGCAGCAGUGGGGAAUAUUGCGCAAUGGAGGAAACUCUGAUGCAGCCACGCCGCGUGAGUGAAGAAGUAUUUCGGUAUGUAAAGCUCUAUCAGCAGGGAAGAAAAUGACGGUACCUGACGAAGAAGCACCGGCUAACUACGUG
This 462-nucleotide ribosomal RNA is filed under the name uncultured bacterium. Its description in RNAcentral is "partial 16S ribosomal RNA". It matches the Rfam family "Bacterial small subunit ribosomal RNA", at positions 28 to 507 of the family's 1533-position model. The record is from RNAcentral.